This 253-nucleotide ribosomal RNA is filed under the name uncultured bacterium. RNAcentral's name for it is "partial 16S ribosomal RNA". It matches the Rfam family "Bacterial small subunit ribosomal RNA", at positions 524 to 776 of the family's 1533-position model. The record is from RNAcentral.
UGCGAGGGGAGCAAGCGUUGUUCGGAUUUACUGGGCGUAAAGGGCGCGUAGGCGGCGCAACAAGUCACUUGUGAAAUCUCCGGGCUUAACUCGGAACGGUCAAGUGAAACUGUCGUGCUAGAGUACAGAAGGGGCAACUGGAAUUCUCGGUGUAGCGGUGAAAUGCGUAGAUAUCGAGAGGAACACCUGCGGCGAAGGCGGGUUGCUGGGCUGAUACUGACGCUGAGGCGCGAAAGCCAGGGGAGCGAACGGG